UCGCCCGCCGCGCGCGGCGGGCGGGGCGGGGGCACGGGGGGCCUACGGGAGGCAGCAGUGAGGAAUACUGCACAAUGGAGGAAACUCUGAUGCAGCAACGCCGCGUGGAGGAUGACGCAUUUCGGUGUGUAAACUCCCUUUAAGAGGGAAGAUUAUGACGGUACCUCUUGAAUAAGCACCGGCUAACUCCGUGCCAGCAGCCGCGGUAAUA
This 211-nucleotide ribosomal RNA is filed under the name uncultured bacterium. RNAcentral's name for it is "partial 16S ribosomal RNA". It matches the Rfam family "Bacterial small subunit ribosomal RNA", at positions 284 to 525 of the family's 1533-position model. The record is from RNAcentral.